This 207-nucleotide long non-coding RNA is filed under the name Brassica napus (rape). RNAcentral describes it as "long non-coding RNA (BNAP_LNC010991)". The record is from RNAcentral. Lineage: Eukaryota; Viridiplantae; Streptophyta; Magnoliopsida; Brassicales; Brassicaceae.
UAUUUAUAAUGUUAGUUGAUACAUAUAAUGUUACUGGAUAAUGGUAAUAUCGGUACAUAGUUUCUGAUCUGUUACAAAUAUGUAGUUAUCGGUUGAUACAUUUUAGGCUAGCUGUUACAAAACAUUUUAUGCCCCUUAAUCCCUAGUUUUCCAUUAAAAUCUUCAUCCACGUAGAAUCUGUUUGUCUAACGCAUGUUACAACAAAAA